This is a long non-coding RNA of Sinocyclocheilus grahami, 1711 nucleotides long. RefSeq lists it as uncharacterized. The record is from RefSeq and is a predicted model, not a curated record. The transcript has 2 exons. Lineage: Eukaryota; Metazoa; Chordata; Actinopteri; Cypriniformes; Cyprinidae.
AAUAGGAGGAGGAUCACGGUUCCUCUGGACCCCAUUGGAAGCUCCUACUUGUCUUCCAGGAACAGAAAGGAGGAACCUGAAGAUUUUAAGGAAUACGAUGCAAAGUGAUCAAACUAACAGAUUACAUAUACCGUUACAAAGGACACCUAAUGUUUUGGUCCUUUUUCGCUUGUGUGAUUUUUUUUAUAUAUAUAUAUUUUAUUGAACUUUUGGUUUCUAUUAAGUCAUUGGAUCUCAGGUUUAUAAACUGUGACUUAUUUAUUUGUAUUUAUGUUUUUCCAAUAUUAGCUUACCCACUCCCUCUAGUGGUGUGCAAACUGACAGACACUGUACUGGUGUUGCUGCAAAAUAAAAUGUACAUGAAUAAACUAUUCAAUCAUGUCUAAUGUACUUUCAACUUAUUUUAAAUCACAAAAUACAUGAUGCAUCUUAACACAAAAGUUAGAUUAGGAAAAUAAGACAUUCUAACCCCAAUAAAGAAAAGUUUUAUUUCUCUGGGUAGUUAAAGAAAACAAUAUCAGAUGCAAAAAAACUAUUUGCUUUGCUUUUCUCUUCACUUUCAGAUAUGUACACUUCUCAAAAUCUGUAAUAUAUAUGAAACAUGAAGCGAGAGAAGUCUGGCUUUUGGGGAUUUCCAAUCCCCCUUGCUUCGCAAAUAAAACAAAGGAAAAAAAACUCCAAACAAUAGUCUCCAAACUAUUUCAAAAGAAAGAGCUUGUAGCAGAAAUGAGUAAUCUUUGCCAGUUCUCAGAGUUGAAAACCCCCAAACACUUCUUGAAAACAAUAAUUACAACCAUUUCAUUCGAGGAAAGCUUCAGCAAAGCUCCUAAAUCUAGCAUUCACAUCUUAUUAAACUGAAAUCUUCCAAAAAAUUGAACACAUUGAGAAAGAAAAAAAAAAACACUACGUUGUGCAAGUAAUAAAGACCAAACAGUAUUGAUAGCUUCUUCGAUAAAGUACAUGAGUUAACAUUAAGUAGAAUUAGAUUAAAUUCAUUUUUGAUAUCAAUAAUUGCAACUGAAUGGAAUUCCUGUUUAAAUGACUCGUAUAGCUCUUUAUAUUUGAAUAUCUAAUACGUGUUAGCUGACUGGUCAAGUCCAUUUGGGUUCGAUUUCUUACAGAAAUAUCAAAUGAAGAGGUUGUAAUCAAAUGGUUUUAUGAUCACCUACAGGAAAUGGCACUCAGAUUAACACAUUACAUCUAUUAGUCUUCAAACAAUGGCAUCUAUCCCAAUGAAAAAAAAUCAACUGGACAGUUCACUAAGAAAUAACGCAUUUUCUAGUAACAGCAGUGUCAACAAUUUCUCAUAGCAGCUCUUUGGCAAAAUCAUAACAUUUUUCUGUAUUUUGUAUAGGUUUUUUUUUUUUUUUUUUUAAACUUUUAAAUAGACUCUUAUAGUACCAAAGUAACCAAUAUAGUAUACAUCUGUGAAAAUGUAGUGUGGCUUCUCUAACUUCUCCAAAGGAAAAUAGUGCCACUUACUAAAUAUGUAAGCUGCUUACUUUAAACAAAUGACAAUUUUGUGUGACAAAGAAUAGUGUACGCAUCUGUGGAAUAGUUACAAAUGAGCCAAGAUCAAUUACCAACUCAGGAGGUAAGAGAUCAAGUCAAAUAUUAUUUUUCAGCGAACUCUGCAUUGGAGACUAUUGACUGUUAAACAUGUAAGGAGUAACUGGUCGCCAAAACUAGAACUGCAAAGAAAGAGAGGAAA